RNAcentral lists this ribosomal RNA (253 nucleotides) under uncultured microorganism. RNAcentral describes it as "partial 16S ribosomal RNA". It matches the Rfam family "Bacterial small subunit ribosomal RNA", at positions 524 to 776 of the family's 1533-position model. The record is from RNAcentral.
UACGGAGGGUGCAAGCGUUAAUCGGAAUUACUGGGCGUAAAGCGUACGUAGGCGGCUUGUUAAGCAAGAUGUGAAAUCCCCGGGCUCAACCUGGGAAUGGCAUUUUGAACUGGCAGGCUCGAGUUCUGAAGAGGGUGGUAGAAUUUCCAGUGUAGCGGUGAAAUGCGUAGAUAUUGGAAGGAAUACCGGUGGCGAAGGCGGCCACCUGGUCAGAAACUGACGCUCAUGCACGAAAGCGUGGGGAGCAAACAGG